UACAGGGGGUGCAAACGUUGCUCGGAAUCAUUGGGCGUAAAGCGCACGUAGGCGGUUCGUUAUGUCGGAUGUGAAAGCCCUUGGCUUAACCGAGGAAGUGCAUCCGAAACUGGCGAGCUAGAGUACGAAAGAGGAUCGCGGAAUUCCCGGUGUAGAGGUGAAAUUCGUAGAUAUUCGGAAGAACACCAGUGGCGAAGGCGACUCGCUGGACAAGUAUUGACGCUGAGGUGCGAAAGCGUGGGGAGCAAACAGG
RNAcentral lists this ribosomal RNA (253 nucleotides) under uncultured bacterium. Its description in RNAcentral is "partial 16S ribosomal RNA". It matches the Rfam family "Bacterial small subunit ribosomal RNA", at positions 524 to 776 of the family's 1533-position model. The record is from RNAcentral.